This 435-nucleotide ribosomal RNA is filed under the name uncultured bacterium. RNAcentral's name for it is "bacterial SSU rRNA". It matches the Rfam family "Bacterial small subunit ribosomal RNA", at positions 43 to 524 of the family's 1533-position model. The record is from RNAcentral.
CAGGCCUAACACAUGCAAGUCGAACGAAGGCUUCGGCCUUAGUGGCGCACGGGUGCGUAACGCGUGGGAAUCUGCCCCUUGGUUCGGAAUAACAGCGAGAAAUUGCUGCUAAUACCGGAUAAUGACGUAAGUCCAAAGAUUUAUCGCCGAGGGAUGAGCCCGCGUAGGAUUAGCUAGUUGGUGUGGUAAAGGCGCACCAAGGCGACGAUCCUUAGCUGGUCUGAGAGGAUGAUCAGCCACACUGGGACUGAGACACGGCCCAGACUCCUACGGGAGGCAGCAGUGGGGAAUAUUGGACAAUGGGCGAAAGCCUGAUCCAGCAAUGCCGCGUGAGUGAUGAAGGCCUUAGGGUUGUAAAGCUCUUUUACCCGGGAUGAUAAUGACAGUAUCGGGAGAAUAAGCUCCGGCUAACUCCGUGCCAGCAGCCGCGGUAAU